GGAGGGAUGGCCGAGCGGUUUAAGGCGCACGCUUGGAAAGCGUGUUGAUGGGCAACUGUCGCGGGGGUUCGAAUCCCCCUCCCUCCGCCA
This 90-nucleotide transfer RNA is filed under the name Thermaerobacter sp. Its description in RNAcentral is "tRNA-Ser". It matches the Rfam family "tRNA". From Rfam's summary of the family: Transfer RNA (tRNA) molecules are approximately 80 nucleotides in length. Their secondary structure includes four short double-helical elements and three loops (D, anti-codon, and T loops). The record is from RNAcentral. Lineage: Bacteria; Bacillati; Bacillota; Clostridia; Eubacteriales; Clostridiales Family XVII. Incertae Sedis.